Molecule: ribosomal RNA, 486 nt
Filed under: uncultured bacterium
Lineage: Bacteria
Description: partial 16S ribosomal RNA
Rfam family: Bacterial small subunit ribosomal RNA
Source: RNAcentral
AUUGAACGCUGGCGGCAUGCCUUACACAUGCAAGUCGAACGGCAGCACGGGUGCUUGCCCCUGGUGGCGAGUGGCGAACGGGUGAGUAAUACAUCGGAACAUGUCCUGUAGUGGGGGAUAGCCCGGCGAAAGCCGGAUUAAUACCGCAUACGAUCUACGGAUGACAGCGGGGGACCUUCGGGCCUCGCGCUAUCGGGUUGGCCGGUGGCUGAUUAGCUAGUUGGUGGAGUAAAGGCCUACCAAGGCGACGAUCAGUAGCUGGUCUGAGAGGACGACCAGCCACACUGGGACUGAGACACGGCCCAGACUCCUACGGGAGGCAGCAGUGGGGAAUUUUGGACAAUGGGCGAAAGCCUGAUCCAGCAAUGCCGCGUGUGUGAAGAAGGCCUUCGGGUUGUAAAGCACUUUUGUCCGGAAAGAAAUCCUUGGCCCUAAUACGGUCGGGGGAUGACGGUACCGGAAGAAUAAGCACCGGCUAACUACGUG